Microplitis mediator is the source of this 509-nucleotide long non-coding RNA. RefSeq lists it as uncharacterized. The transcript has 2 exons. The record is from RefSeq and is a predicted model, not a curated record. Lineage: Eukaryota; Metazoa; Arthropoda; Insecta; Hymenoptera; Braconidae.
CACGACUUGUUUUUCAAUGUGGAUCUGGUCAGUGUGGGUGUGUGUGUGUGUGUUGGAUGCUGGCAACUGGCUACGACAGAUUGAUAUUUUAUAUCUCUGCAUAUUCUAUGAUUGUACACUCGAGUUUUCAUGAGCUAAGUUCGACUGUAAACAUCCAAAUUGUACUGUAUGCUGCAAACUUAUUAAGAUGUUACUCUUAUUAAUGUGUGAUAAAUCAUACAUUUUAAUAAAAAUCUUAAAAAACUUUCGCCAAUCAUCAAGGGACAACGAAACUCUGUAAAGUCGGCUCGUAAGUACCAGAUCUGCCAGUUGUAAAUACGUAUCGUGGAAGUGUUUACAGUUUUCAUUUUCCAAUACUUGAAAAAUACAAGCGACGAAAUCAAAAGUGUGUAAAUAAACUGCUGAUGGUGUACUAGCAUAGCGCACAAUAUCAGAUAUUAGAAGACUACAAGACGUUUGUACUUUAUCAGCACUUGUGCUGGGUGGCCUUUUCGUUAACUAAAAAGAUU